CCUACGGGGGGCAGCAGUGGGGGAUAUUGCACGAUGGGGGAAACCCUGAUGCAGCGACGCCGCGUGGGUGAAGAAGCGCCUCGGCGCGUAAAGCCCUGUCAGCAGGGAAGAAAAUGACGGUACCUGAAGAAGAAGCCCCGGCUAACUACGUGCCAGCAGCCGCGGUAAUACGUAGGGGGCCAGCGUUAUCCGGAUUUACUGGGUGUAAAGGGGGCGCAGUCGGCGAUGCAAGCCAGGAGUGAAAGUCCGGGGCCCAACCCCGGGACUGCACUUGGCACUGCGGGGCUAGAGUGCGGGAGGGGCAGGCGGAAUUCCUGGUGUAGCGGUGAAAUGCGUAGAUAUCACGCAGAACUCCGAUUGCGAAGGCAGCAUACCGGCGCCCGACUGACGCUGAGGCACGAAAGCGUGGGGAUCGAACAGGAUUAGAUACCCUUGUAGUC
RNAcentral lists this ribosomal RNA (440 nucleotides) under uncultured bacterium. Its description in RNAcentral is "partial 16S ribosomal RNA". It matches the Rfam family "Bacterial small subunit ribosomal RNA", at positions 338 to 795 of the family's 1533-position model. The record is from RNAcentral.